Long non-coding RNA from Arabidopsis lyrata subsp. lyrata, 1646 nucleotides. RefSeq lists it as uncharacterized. The record is from RefSeq and is a predicted model, not a curated record. The transcript is spliced from 8 exons. Lineage: Eukaryota; Viridiplantae; Streptophyta; Magnoliopsida; Brassicales; Brassicaceae.
ACUUACAACAACAUUCGUCGUCAAGCGUCAGAGAAGAGAAGAGAAGGUUUCUGAAGACAAGCAAGUCGGUGGUCUCAGCUCGUUUGACCGAGCCAAGAGGCGGCGGAGCUCGUGACCUUAGAGACGACGGAGCCAAUGAGCCUAGGGUUUCCGACGAGCUUGGCGAGCAGAAGUCAUUGGAGACUUCGGAGUCUUCUCCUACUCCUUGUACUGACUAAGACGUUGCCUAUUUUCAUUCAUAUGCUCACGUUGGGAUUCACGAAGAGAUUAUCAAGGAUCGGGCAAAGGAUGGAAACUUUUUGGGGAAGCCAUAAUGCAGCAUCAGAGCUUAAUCCAAGGCAAGGUUGUGGAACAUGCAUCCUUUCAAUCUUCUGUUCUCAAGCGGGAGCAAAACGGGUUAAACAUAUAGACUGUCAAACUAAAAAAAUCCAAGAGCUUGACUCCGUCACUGCAAGACAUAAAUUCAACUCAAUGAUGAGAGGGUUUUGCAUUUCGGUUCGACGUUGAAUUCAGCGGACCAGCCUCUUCGCCUGCCAACACUACUAGUGAAACUAGUGUUGCUAGUGGUUCUUCGUCGAUAAGUCCUUCUGGAGAAGUAAAUCAGAAGAAGCGGACUAAUCCGAGUGAUGCACUUGUGUUGUCCACCUCUCCCGAGGCUCCUCCAACGCAUUGGCAGCAAAGUUGGAGUUUCUUACUACGACUGUAGUGUACGCCAGCUUCAUGUGCUACAAGUUUGGGAGGAAGAUUGCUCAGAUUUUACCUUCAUUAAUAUGGGUAUAACUUUUCAACUUGAUACAGAAUGGAAUGUUUACUAGUAGAGUUUACUUAUAUUGCUGUACCUCAGUUAUAUUAAGCUUGGUAAAGUGGGUUCUUCAUGUACGAUGCGUCUAUGGAAUUAUCAGCUCAACUAUGGUGUCUAUGCUUCUUGAUUGCUCAAUAGCCUUUCACUCUACGAUGUGUCUCUAACAAAUCACGACCACAUGUAUUUCUUCACACUUUGAUAACAGUUAUUUCGUUUCUGUAAAUGAAUAUAUAGUUUUUCUGUUCUGCAGGGUACCUCAUGUGCAUCUUUGGAGAAAAGCUUGAUGAAACUGCACUUAAUAGGCUUACUGAAUUUGUAUUUGCGUUUUCCAAUAUGGAUGGAGAGACUCAGCGAUUCUUUUACCAUACCCUGAAGACACGAGAGUUAGACAACCUUCUUGGAGAUAUCUACCACAAAAUUUUAGAUAUGGAAAGGGCAAUUAUUAGGGACUUAUCACACACACUUUUGUUCUCGUCUUACUUGCUGACUGAAGGCAGUUAACUUUGUUGCAGAACUUGAUUGGUAAUCAAUAUUCAAAAGCUGCGGAUAUCACAUAUCAUUUCUAGUCUCUCCUCUUAAAGAAAAGCAACACUUAGGUAAGAUCGAUGUAGAGUAUGAUGGGAAGUGUUAUUGUGGAAUCGAUAGUAAGUUUUAUAUCAUCAACUUGAACUUUUUAGUACAAUCAUUACAUUAGAUUUGCUUGGUAUACUGGUUAAACUGAGACUUAGUUUCUGAUUUCUGCAAUUUUAUGUGGAUUUGAUGUUUCUAAUUAUAAGCUGGUACAAAUUUCAAAGUAUUAGCUUUGCCAUAUCCCACAUAAUGAUAGACAGAGAGGUUUGUCAUU